This 701-nucleotide long non-coding RNA is filed under the name Homo sapiens (human). RNAcentral's name for it is "long non-coding regulator of POU2F2 (LNROP)". The record is from RNAcentral. Lineage: Eukaryota; Metazoa; Chordata; Mammalia; Primates; Hominidae.
GGAUAAGCAGGCUGGAAGAGCCGACUCCUACGGCUGCGAUCCAAGAGGUGCCUGCAACAGUUGCCCCCCGACUUCUGUCGCCCCCAUGGAGGCAAACAAGUCUGGAACAGGGAAUGGGGGUCUGGGAGAGAAGAUGAAAAGACUGAGGAUCAGAGAGGUGAGCAGUAGCUUUCCCAAAGGCCCAGAGCCAAGAAGCGUUGAAGCUUAAAAGCACGCCGCGGCAGGGAAGAUCAAGCAAGCCCUGCGCCUAUCUGCAGCUUGAUCUCUCUGUACUGAGCCAUGGAGCUCCUUCUUGGAGGCGUGAAAUGCUCCCCAUCCUUCAGGAGACAACAGCAACAGCCAGCCACUCCUUGUCCAGUCAGCAAUGCUGGAAUACCUCUGCAGCUCACAGUCCAACGCCCACAGCCUUCGAGUCAGUUUCUUGAUAUUCGGCAAUGCACUGGACUCCUGAUCCCAUCAGCUCCUGGCUGAAGGUGGGCCAACCCUUCCCCAUUUCCUUCAAUUCAAACAUUUCCUCAUGUCCCUCAGUGCCAAGCCCUGUGCUGGGAGCUGAGGACCCAGAGGUGAGCUAGAUCUAAAAUCUGACCUCAAGGAGCUAACAGUCUGAGAGGAAGACUGGAGUGGAUAAAAAUACCUUGGUAAUUUAUCACUUAAUAAAUAUCCAAUAAAUGCUAUUAUGUGCCAAAAAAAAAAAAAAAAAA